AAGAGUCCCUCCCGACUGUUUACCAAAAACACAGCACUUUGCCAACUCGUAAGAGGAAGUAUAAGGUGUGACGCCUGCCCGGUGCUCGAAGGUUAAGAGGAUGCGUCAGUCGCAAGAUGAAGCGUUGAAUUGAAGCCCGAGUAAACGGCGGCCGUAACUAUAACGGUCCUAAGGUAGCGAAAUUCCUUGUCGGUUAAAUACCGACCUGCAUGAAUGGCGUAACGAGAUGGGAGCUGUCUCAACCAGAGAUUCAGUGAAAUUGUAGUGGAGGUGAAAAUUCCUCCUACCCGCGGCAAGACGGAAAGACCCCGUGGACCUUUACUACAACUUAGCACUGCUAAUGGGAAUAUCAUGCGCAGGAUAGGUGGGAGGCUUUGAAGUAAGGGCUUUGGCUCUUAUGGAGCCAUCCUUGAGAUACCACC
Molecule: ribosomal RNA, 422 nt
Filed under: Helicobacter pylori
Lineage: Bacteria; Pseudomonadati; Campylobacterota; Epsilonproteobacteria; Campylobacterales; Helicobacteraceae
Description: bacterial LSU rRNA
Rfam family: Bacterial large subunit ribosomal RNA
Source: RNAcentral